AUUGAACGCUGGCGGCAUGCUUUACACAUGCAAGUCGUACGGUAACAGGGUGCUUGCACCGCUGACGAGUGGCGAACGGGUGAGUAAUGCGUCGGAACGUGCCGAGUAGUGGGGGAUAACGCAGCGAAAGUUGUGCUAAUACCGCAUACGUACUGAGGUAGAAAGUGGGGGACCUUCGGGCCUCACGCUAUUCGAGCGGCCGACGUCUGAUCAGCUAGUAGGUGAGGUAAAGGCUCACCUAGGCGACGAUCAGUAGUGGGUCUGAGAGGAUGAUCCGCCACACUGGGACUGAGACACGGCCCAGACUCCUACGGGAGGCAGCAGUGGGGAAUUUUGGACAAUGGGCGAAAGCCUGAUCCAGCCAUGCCGCGUGUCUGAAGAAGGCCUUCGGGUUGUAAAGGACUUUUGUCAGGGAGGAAAUCCCUAGUGCUAAUAACACUGGGGGAUGACAGUACCUGAAGAAUAAGCACCGGCUAACUACGUGCCAGCCGCCGCCGUAA
RNAcentral lists this ribosomal RNA (500 nucleotides) under uncultured bacterium. RNAcentral describes it as "partial 16S ribosomal RNA". It matches the Rfam family "Bacterial small subunit ribosomal RNA", at positions 30 to 523 of the family's 1533-position model. The record is from RNAcentral.